Passer domesticus (house sparrow) is the source of this 4829-nucleotide long non-coding RNA. RefSeq lists it as uncharacterized. The record is from RefSeq and is a predicted model, not a curated record. Lineage: Eukaryota; Metazoa; Chordata; Aves; Passeriformes; Passeridae. The transcript has 8 exons.
CUUCCACUAGACCGGGUUUAUCAGUGCCCCAUCCAGCCUGGCCGUGAACACCUCCAAGGGAUGGGGCAUCCUCAGCUUCUCUGGGGAGCCUGUGCCAGUGGCUUACCACACUCAGGGUACUAGAAGACCACAAUUAGGUCACCUCAAAGCCUUCUCUUUCCCAGGCUGAACAAACCCAAUUCUCCCAGCCUUUCCUCGUGGGAGAGGUGCUCCAUCCCUGUCAUCAUCUUGUUGGCCUCCUCUGGAUUCACUCCAACAGGUCCAUGUCCUUCCUGUGCCAGGGGCCCCAGAGCUGGAUGUACUUCCAGGAUCAUGGAAUCACAGAAUAUCUGUGUUGGAAGUGACCCAAAAGGAUCAUUGAGUCCAACUUAGCCCUGCACAGGACCAUCCCCCCACACCAUCUGCCUAAGAGCAUUGUCCAAGCACUUCUUGAACUCUGUCAGGCUGGGUGCUGUGAUCACUUCCCUGAGGAGCCUGUUCCAGUGCCCAACCACCCUCUGGGUGAAAGAACCUUUUCCUAAUAUCCAACCUAAACCUCCCCAUGGUCAACUUUAGGCCGCUCCCUUGGGUCCUGUCACUGUUUGCCAGAGAGAAGAGAUCAGUACCUGCCCCUCCACUUCCCCUCAUGAGGAAGGACUGCAAUUAAUUUACACUGUCAGUGCUACAGAGAGUUUUGUAAUAGCUACAUUUGAACAUUAAUUCAUUUUUGAACUGAAUAAAAAAUCCCUACGUCUGAACAGUAUUCCAUGUUGCACAAGAGAUAUGUUGCAGGCAGAGUGGUACUUGGAAAAUCCCACAGUUACUGGCUUUCAGCUUCAAAUUGUCCCUUUGAUUCUUUAACCAAGGCUGAGCUGAGUGGACAAGCUGCCAGGUAACCUCCAGGAUUCUCAAGAGGUGACUCACCACCUUGACGGACACUAUUGACAGGUUCAGGAUUCACCCUCUGCUUGGUGAACACUGGGCAAAGAAAACAAGGGUUUGACCUCGCACUGCUUUUGGCCAGCGUGUGCCCAGGUGGCCGAGAAGGCCAGUGGCACCUGGCCUGGAUCAGCCAUGGUGUGGCCAGCAGGAGCAGGGCAGGGAUUGUCCUCCUGUACUCGGCACUGGUGAGGCCACACCUCGAGUGCUGUGAACAGUUCUGGGGCCCUCUCUACAAGAAAAACAUGGAAGUGCUGGAGCGUGUCCAAAGGAGGGCAGUGGGGCUGGUGAAGGGUCUGGAGCACAAGUCCUGUGAGGAGCAGCUGGGGUUGUUUGGCCUGGAGAAGAGGAGGCUCAGGGGAGACCUUAUCGCUCUCAGUAACUGUCUGAAAGGAGGCUGUGGCCAGAUGUGGAGUUGGUCUCUGGUCCCAUAUAGCAAGUGAUUGAACAAGAGAAAAUGACCUGAGGUUUAGAUUUGAUAUUAAGAAUAAUUUUUCACCAAAAGGAUUAUCCAGCACUGGAACAGGCUGCUCCAGGAAGUAGUGAACCUUCUCCAUAGAUAUUCAAAAGACAUGGCAUGUGAGGACACUGUCUACUGAUGGACUUGGCAGUACCAGGUUCAUCACUGGACCUGAUGAUCUUAGAGUUAUUUUGCAACCUUAAUGAUUCUUAGGCUUUGUCUUUAAGAAGUUUUUGUCUUGUUGAUAUUCAGUACUUUGGUCUCCAGUGAUAUAAAGGAAGACAAUGCAAGUUGUCUUUAUGGAAACAAAGUAGCCAAUAAACAAGUUCACUAUUGUGUUUUCUUCUUCUAGUGAUAACAGUGAUAGUUAUGCUGAUUGAGACCCAAUAAGUUAAUGGCUGUGCAUAUAUAGUUAUGGCUUGAUUCAGACUGUGGUAACUGCAGACUCGGGUAAUGUUGGAUGAGGGAUUACAAUUUCCUCCUAAGCAUACACAAAAUAUUACUGCUGACUUUAUUUAAGAUACUGUGCUUUGGCACUGCAAUAAUAGAGCACAAGCUCUUCCUCACAUCCUACAAUUUCACUCUUUUUCUUAAGCACUUGGAAAAUAAACAACCUCCUUUUGGUCUGAACAGCUGAUUAGGAGUUGUGACUUGCUUUCAGCGGGAUGAAAUACAAGUUGGAUGUUUCUGCAGUUUGUGUACCUUGAGCAUCCCCACCAUAACACGCUACAUUAGAUGCAUUUCCCUCUCUCAAGUACAAGCCUAUAGUCCUCUCAGAAAUCUCUCCAGCUUUUGCACCCUCAUUUUCUUCACAAACAUGUGUCUGCAAAUCCAAGUGAAAAACAAGCUGCUUCAUUCACAGUCAGCUCCCAGGGAAGUACUUAAUAUUCCCUGUUGCUUUUUCUCCCAGGGCUUUCAGCUUGGGUCAGUGGCUCCUAUAGCAUGGAAAAAUAUACUCCCUUUACUUCCCAUUUUGUGACCAUUGGAUUUAGUGCGCUUUUUGUCUCCAGCUCCACAAUUUGUGUCUCUUCAUAACUGGCAUGUAGAGAGCUGCUUUAGCAGCACGGUACCUAUACCAGCAGCACUGCCGUGUGGCACUCCUGUGGUACUUUCAUCUCUGAGUGUUCCCAAAGACUUGGCAGCCUGUCUCCCAGCCUCUGCAUGGCUUGCUGCUUUUAAAGCUGCUCCUCCCUGCUCUCUCUUAUUUCUUAAUAAAAUGACACGUGCAGCCUUGAAACAGAUUGAUUCCUGGCAGAAGUAGGACUGCAGAUUGGAUUAGCAAACUAGGAAGGGUUAGCUGCUCUGUGGGAAAUAGUGGGGUUUUUCCCUCUUUGCUGUAUCACAGAGUGGAACAGAAGAACCCUGUUCCUGCAAAUCUCCCAAAGGACUUCAAAACAGCCAGAUGCCUUUGCCCCAAUCCGCUGACUCCUGAGGCCUGUCUGUAGUGGUGUGUGAUGGUUCCUGUGGGCAGGAGCAGAGAUGGUCUCACGGUGAAGUCACUUGGCAAAGACAGCUGGUUCAGCUCCAGCCCUGUGCAGAAUCUUUGUGAUCUUAUCAGUGCUGUCCAAGCUGUGCCUCUCCCCAGAGCUCAUAGCUGUGAGUGUGCAUGCUUGGCAUGCAAACAGUGCUGGAAUUAAUUCUACUGGGAGAAAAACAGAAGGUACAAAGCAACAUUUCCAUUAACAAUGUAAUGUACUGUAUUAGAAAACCGAGCAGCCAGCUGCUAUGCUGAAAACACCUUUGCAUUUCAUCUCUAGCCACUAACUCAUCCUCCCUCCCAAAGGAUCAAAAUCCUCACAGGAAGUCUUUUCUGAGAGAUGGCACCUGUUUCAUGGGGAACUGCUGCUCCCAGGCAGAAAUGCUGCAGUGACAAACUGUCCUCCUGUGCAGACCUCCUGCAUCAUCUGCUCCUCCUGGACCACCCUAUGGCAGCCGCUGAACGCAGUCUUGCUGCUUACUGCAAACCACCUCUGAAACAAAAGAUUUUGCAAGAAUGAACAAGACCCUUCUUGUCCCUGUUUUGUCAGCCAGAUCUUGAAGCUCCUUUGACUCUCCUCCUGACUGCUAGUGUUGACCUAAAGCAAGCAGCAGGAAUGUAAAAUAGGCUCUAGUAAGGGCGGGGCCAGUCUCAGUAGGGUAGCAUAGGCUUGAACUAGAAUAUGCUGGUCAUAAAACCACAUCCUCGUGGGCUCACACACCGAGGCUUAACAGGUGUUUUGCUCUGCCCACUAUAAGAAAUUAUAGAUCUGCCUCAUUUAGUUUGGGUAUCAGAAAAGUAACAGUGCCUACUGUGAGCUCUGCCUGCUUCUUUCUGACAUGAUGGGGAGAGUCCUCUUAACACAAAAUAUAUCUGAGAGAUCAACCUGCCAGAGAAUGGCAGGUGCAGUGGAGAGAAGGCAAAUUUUAUAUUGGGAAGUCAUUUCACCAAUCAAUUGAUCUCCAGUCUAAGAGCAAAGCAAUAGAAAAUAAUUUGGAAGGAGGAGAAAGGGGUGACUCAAGGUGAGCUUCUGCAAACUAGAGGCCAGAUGAUUUCAGCCAUAACUAUGCCUGUGCUGUAUCAUGAGGCAAUCAAUGACUCCAAAACAAAGAGGUACAUCAUGAAAGCAGGAUGCUGGAAUACUCUUUGGUCUUUGUGAAUGAGGGUACACAUGCCAGGAUCUCCCUUGAUGCCUGCCUGCAUUGAGGGCACAGAAUAAAAUGGAAAAAGAAGACAGCUUAUGGGCAUGCUUGGUCAGAGCGAGAUGGUAUUUCAAAGCCAGGGGUGUCAUUUUGGUUACAACAAACCUCAAAACUCGAGAAAAUGCUUUUGACAACUGGUGUCACAGAGUUGCUUGCUGUGAGAGAGAUUUCUGUAUGUGCCCAAGGCAAUGGGCCUCUUUGCAUUGUCACAUCCUCUCUUUUAGCUACUGGAGGCUACUGAAAUUCAGAGAUAAAGAGCUAAAACAAGAGGAUCACAAGUAUUUAUACACAAAUGAGCACCACCAGGCAUUUCAGGUGGGAUUUUGAGCCCCUGUGCCUGGCAUGAAGCCCUGGCUGCCUGUUUUGUUCAGAGAACGUUUGGCUCCUAACAUAUAUGAGUCUAAACCCUUAUUUUUAAAAUUGCCGACAUCCUGACACGAGUGCCACCUGUAGCUGUGGCCAGCACUUCAGUGGCCUCAGGGCUGGAGCGUGGGGUUCAGUGGGUUGAGUCAGUGAGUGAGUCCCGCCUGUGGAAAAGCCACCUCGUGCCUCAGUUUCCCCAUUUUUGUGACAAUGUGGGGGGCGGCUGCGACCCCUCGGCGGGAUGCUCUUGACCCGGCUGGCGGGCAUCCGGGCAGCCCCGGCAUGGCUGUCGCCAGUCCUCGGGAACCCCCACCGGGACAGGGCUCGGGGAGCCGCCCCGGACCCGAGUGCUGCCCGGCGGGGGUGUGAAGCCGGGCCUUGUGGGGCGGCAGCCGAGUCCCCUGGACGC